AUUUAUUCUUCCCGACUUAAAUUUUUUACUCAGAAACGAAUAGAAGAAAACCUCUAGUGAGCAGCAAACAAUGGAACUUUAGUAGAAAGGUUGUUGGUGACAACUGAUGCCAGAGAAUGGAACUAGAAUGCAAUGAAAAAAAACGAAUUAGGACACACUGUGAGAGAAUGCAGAAAAGUAAGUAAAAUAGAAUCGGAAUGAUCGAUGACAUACUGUGUAAAUGCAAACUUGUGAAACCUUACGUGACGCCGUUUGCCCUACGUCCAAUUUCAUAAUGAAUAUCGUCAGCGCCCUCCAUAAGAGACGUUCUAUCGUGACUUAACAAGUAAUCAUGCGUUGCCUAGCGUAUCAAUGUUCACAUCGUUGAUUCGAAGGAAUAGCACCUGAUCGAUUCUAAGCCACUUAAGAAAUGCACAGGACUGCCUGCAGAUGAAGACUCUCUAUAAUUCCUCGGAAUAGCUGCGUGCAUGAAGGUCCGUUAAGGGUUCAAAGCUCGUUAUAGCCUCGAAAGUCGUGCGAGAAAGCGGGUGCAGCUGUGCUUAAUGCUUCAAUGCAUCUUGAGGGACUUUCCUCAUCAAAUUCAAACGAUUCCACAUGGCCAACUGCCUUAUGCCUUAUUCCUUGGGCGAUCUUUGAGCCACUAACUCCUUCAAGCAGGUAAGACAAUAUAAAAUAUAUCCAUUUUUAGUUGCACCCACUUAGUUGCACCGUUAAUUGCACAAGCAUUUAAAAGCCAAACGGCGUAAAUGCGUGUGACACAUUGAUGUGCCUGCUGUCAGCCUCAGCUGCAAUAUAGUCCACUCAGUUCCGAUGGCAUAUAUGAGAAACAAAGAAUGCAUGUGAAGGUUUCAGAUAUUUUGUUAUAUAUUUUAUAUAUUCCACAAACAGAGUUUAUAAGGCGAUUUCACCUAUUUCAAGAAUGUGAACUCACAACCGCUUCCUCACUACACCCUGUGCUGCAUCGGUGCAUUGGUGAAAGGGACUUGCAACAGACUACCACUAAUAGGUUUCCCACUAUUAGGGUUCCUGAUUAUAUAGGAGACCGACUUCUCGUUUCUCUCAUUCUUCGCCCUUCAACGUUUAUUUUGUCAAAGGAAUGCUUCAGGAGUGGAAGCGAAGCAAACAGAAAAGCGCGUUUAAAAAAAAGACGCCUCACAUGAUCAGCCAGCCACUUGCACAAAUUGCCAAAAAUGAUAAAAUAUGCGCAAUAAUGUGGUGACAGUUUGAACUAAUUGACUUCUUGCUGAGAAUAGUUACAUUCAACAUGACCGAACGCCUACAUGGCAGUGCUGGUCAAGACCCACACGCACGCUUUUCGACACAUCCUAGCAUCCCAAACUCUUGUUGGAGGCUACUAAUCUGCUUGAGGAUCUCAAAAUGAUCGGUCAGUGGCAUGCGAUGCAUUCACUGCACUCAGCCCGAUAGCUGUAGUACCCGUCAUUUCUGAACUGAGGUUAUCGAACAGACACUCAGAGACGCGUAUAAACGUAUAUGUUUAUAGAUAAGAUGCUAUAUAUAUAUAUAUAUAUAUAUNCGGUCGGGCUGCAGUGUGAAGUGAGCUCGGUUUGAUCCAUGCAGUGCAACGCUCGGAAACGGGUGGCGCUCGGCUAGCGUUCGAACUGUCUUGUGGACCGCUGCAGCUGUGUGCCGCGUCAAUAAUGGCGUUGGUGCUUCGGCGGGCGCUAAACAGUCGACUUAGAACUGGCACGGACUCGGGGAAUCCGACUGUCUAAUUAAAACAGAGGAGACAGAUGGCCCUUGCGAGCGUUGACUGUCUCUGAUUUCUGCCCAGUGCUCUGAAUGUAAAAGUGAAGAAAUUCAACCAAGCGCGGGUAAACGGCGGGAGUAACUAUGACUCUCUUAAGGUAGCCAAAUGCCUCGUCAUCUAAUUAAUGACGCGCAUGAAUGGAUUAACGAGAUUCCCACUGUCCCUAUCUACUAUCUAGCGAAACCACAGCCAAGGGAACGGGCUUGGCGAACACAGCGGGGAAAGAAGACCCUGUUGAGCUUGACUCUAGUCCGACUCUGUGAAGAGUCAUGAGAGGUGUAGCAUAAGUGGGAGGCUUUGGCCAACAGUGAAAUACCACUACUUUCAUCGAUUCUUUACUUAUUCGGUAAGACGAGAAUUGAGCCUAUCCGGCUCUUCAUUCUGGUGUUAAGUGCAGCCACUCGGUGGCCGUUCGACUCGCGCCGAAGACAGUGUCAGGCGGGGAGUUUGACUGGGGCGGUACAUCUGUCAAAUCGUAACGCAGGUGUCCUAAGGCUAGCUCAGAGAGGACGGAAACCUCUCGUAGAGCAAAAGGGCAAAAGCUCGCUUGAUCUUGAUUUCCAGUACGAAUACAGACCGCGAAAGCGUGGCCUAUCGAUCCUUUUGAAUUAGAAGGUCUCUAGCAAGAGGUGUCAGAAAAGUUACCACAGGGAUAACUGGCUUGUGGCAGCCAAGCGUCCAUAGCGACGUUGCUUUUUGAUCCUUCGAUGUCGGCUCUUCCUAUCAUUGCGCAGCAGAAUUCGCCAAGCGUUGGAUUGUUCACCCACCAAUAGGGAACGUGAGCUGGGUUUAGACCGUCGUGAGACAGGUUAGUUUUACCCUACUGUGACUCGUUGUUGCGAUAGUAAUCCUGCUUAGUACGAGAGGAACCGCAGGUUCAGACAUUUGGUUCAUGUGCUUGGCCGAUCGGCCAAUGGUGCGAAGCUACCAUCUGAGGGAUUAUGACUGAACGCCUCUAAGUCAGAAUCCCGCCUAGUGAAGGCAACGAUAAAUUUGCUCGCCGGUGUCGGGAGGCACUUCUAUGUAACUUUUAAAGUUACAGCUAAUGCCCCAUUAUAUGGUCUUUCCGAACGAUUGAAAAGUCGUGCGGUUGCCAAAGCCGGACUACACGGUACAACGUCGGGGCGCAAAAUCACUUGCAGACGACUUGAUUACUGGUCAAGGUGUUGUAUCCAGUAGAGCAGCCUCCAUACUGCGAUCUGUUGAGACUCAUCCUUUGAUUGGACGAUUUGU
This 3001-nucleotide ribosomal RNA is filed under the name Ascaris suum (pig roundworm). RNAcentral describes it as "eukaryotic LSU rRNA". The stretch from base 1489 to 2999 matches the Rfam family "Eukaryotic large subunit ribosomal RNA", at positions 1891 to 3399 of the family's 3401-position model. The record is from RNAcentral. Lineage: Eukaryota; Metazoa; Nematoda; Chromadorea; Rhabditida; Ascarididae.